Molecule: long non-coding RNA, 2070 nt
Organism: Anguilla anguilla (European eel)
Lineage: Eukaryota; Metazoa; Chordata; Actinopteri; Anguilliformes; Anguillidae
Exons: 3
Source: RefSeq, a predicted model, not a curated record
AUAAAUAAAACAACUUUGCCUUUCACCCUCACGGGAUCUGUGUAAGAAUAAUAAACCAACACAAUCAACUAAAAUAACAAAGACAAAAAAAACAAAAUUACAAAACAGCUUUUUCCUUGCUGGUAACUCCCUGUGUCUAUCUCAGGUUGUGAAUUCCUUGGUCACAGACACCUACCCAGAGGAAAGCACACUUUAAACACCUGGACUAAUUAUUGAUGCACUCCAGGUGUGUGUGCCUAUUUAACCAGCAGGUGUGGUCCUCUGAUUGCCCUGAACCACUCCCACAAACCGAGCCCUGCCACAUUAGCCUUAAACCAACAUAUUUGCCCUGGAUUGUGAAGAGUACAGCAAACACUUACCCUGAUUGAUUAUUCAUUACUCCCUGCACAGAUGAGAAAAAAAAAACCAUCAGUCCUUCCUGCCCUAGCACAUGUUAUACUGCAACAAAAGCUGCCAGGACUUUGUGUUGGUCGGGCCUGAGACCUAGAUUACAGGCAUUGAAUCAAGACAACUGCUUCUGUCAUCCGAAGGUCACAGCUUGUCCUUGGGAGUGCUGUGCUGGAAUCGAUUCGGGCAGAGUUAUUAGUCUUGGUCAGGGUCUCCUGACAUUGGCAAUGGGAUGCUUCACAUCGGGGACCAUCGCUCAAGCUUCCAUUCCUUUCCAAGGAUUCCAUCAUGCAGUUUCCGGAAGGUCACAAAGCGGGCCAAUCUCAGCUGGCGGUCCAUCGACUGUAGAUAUCCCAUUGGUCCUCUCCACUCUGUGCUGUGCCUUCUGCCUUAUCUGUAAUUGCCCAGGCCACACUGCACUGCUGACUGUUUCUAGAAGCUUCCACUUGACCAGCUGUUCUUGCAAGGACAUAGUCUCUUGGCCCCCUAUACACUAAAAAAGCUUGCCUGCCCACUCUCUGUGGUCAAGAUGCACACACUAGGUCUAACACUGUUAGAGUGCAUGGAUUUACAUCCUGCUAUGUGCCUGAGUCCAAGGCUUAAUUACUGCUUCCUGGUAGAAUGCAUAGAUUCACUACCUGCUUCUUCUUUGAGAACAUGGGUUAAUUACUGCUUCCUGUUAGAGUGCAUAGAUUAUCUCCCAAAUUCCUUUUAGACUACAUGGAUUAUCUUUCUAUUUCCUGUUGGAACAUGUGGAUGGGUUGACCCUCUAUCAUAGUUGUCUCCACUGCAGUGAAGUUUAACUAGAGAUGAGCUCUCUCAAGCCAUCACUGAUUCACUGGCACAUUUAGUCUUAUCUUAUUGACUCCAGAACAAUCACCCGAUGCGUUUUUGUGUGCUCUCUCUCCUCACCAGAUCCCACAUUCUGUUAAAUUGAUGCCCAUUUGAAAAGUGACUAUUUAACUUGAUUUAUGAUCAUAUAGACACAUUUUUCAUUAACUGAACCUUCAUAAUAUCUGCCCUUACGAUUUCAUUUUAGAAUGUAUAAGUAAAUAUAAGGUAGUUUAACAGCAAGAAAAGCUGUAUCUCUCUCCCAUGGGCACUGAAGAAAUUGCGACAUCAAUAAAGUGUGUAUGGAGGGGCCAUAACAGUAGAAUUUAUGAGAACAAAUUAAUUGCUGGGUAAAGGGCAGACAAAAGUCGGAAGCUCAAAAGACAGAAAUAGCAGGAAGAAAAGGCCUUUGGGCAUUAUGUAGCUUGAAAGAGAACAAACAGGAUGUGCCUUUCUUCCAUGCACCAAUUAAAAAAGAUUUUGCUGAAUAUUAUUCCUCCAUUGAAUUACAGCGAGAAACUAGAGCAGACAUUUAUGAAUGUGCCAAGUUAAGAGUUAUUAGAGACAAGCAAGCACUUCAACGACAUCCCCGUCUGCUUCACUUUAGUAGAAAUAGAAGAGAGAGAAUAAAAUUGACACAUAGGAUGUUUGUGUUGACAUAGCUGUAUUGAAAAUGUUUUUUGUUUAAAUAAUCAUAAGCAUUUCUGCAGUGCAAUCAUAUGCCAUGUAAUAUGCACAUAGUUUUUGCACUGUUAAAACCUCCUGUGAUGUUAUAUUGUCAAUUACCCUUAUGUUCUUUUUUCUUGUUUAACACAUUAUUUUGUGUUUUAUUUCAAAUGCAAAGUAAAAUAU